Molecule: long non-coding RNA, 1705 nt
Filed under: Homo sapiens (human)
Lineage: Eukaryota; Metazoa; Chordata; Mammalia; Primates; Hominidae
Description: HSALNT0348562
Source: RNAcentral
GGCCGCUUGCGCAGGCGCAGUUCUGACGACUGCCGUUCAGCACCUGCGUAAGCACCUCUCGGCCAGGUCAGUCCUGUAUACAGCACUAAAGCUGAUGAAUGAUCUAUCUUACACUAGCCAAAGUGAAGUCUGAAAGAUGUGAAGAAAUGCAGUACAUUUGUACAUUGGCACAUUGCCCUGCAGAGGACUGGCAACACUCCAGAAAUGAUGGAGACAGGAUACAUCAACCUGUAUCACUGAAGAUGAUGUGGAGCAGAGCCUUUGUGGUCCUAAGAAACAUGUAUAAGAUAAAAACUUUUGUGGUUUUUCAAUCAUUUGAGGUUUUAGGAUUGUUCAUUGUAUCAACACAACUUGCCUAUUCUGACUGCUAAGGUUGUUCACUGGGUUAUUCAUAAAGGCAAAAUGAGGUUGUGAGCCACAGAAAGAGAGGACAGGAUGGUUCCAUGGUGUCCCCAGCUUAUUUUUUAUUGUUUCCUGUUUAUUGAUCUCAUCCAUUGGAGAACUCCAUGAAAGCACAUAUCUAUGCCACACUCACCACUGUAUUAUAGAACUCAAAUGUCGGUUGCAUGAAUAAAAUAUGUAACAGGAAGGCCACUAUACCUGGCCCUGACCAAUUACAAAUUUAGUUUUUCAUGAGGUUUUUUAAAGGGCAUCCAGCACACCACAGAACCCUGUGCACAACAAACUACCCCCAAAGUUAGCGGCUUAAAACACUUUCUCCCAAUUCUGAAUUCCGCUGGGUCGUUCUGCUUAGUGUAGUAUCUACUAAGUCUGGGACAUCCCAGAUAAUUUCUUCAUGCAUGUCUGGUGCUCAGUUGGCAUGUCUGAAAAAGCUGGGUUUGGCCAGACAUCUUUCUGUCCACCUAGUUUCUCCAGCAGAGUAACCAGACCUCUCUACACAGUAGCUUAGGGUGCCAAGAGCAAAUGUUCCAAGAGGGCAAGCCCUGAUGUGCAAAUCCUUAAGCCUCUGCUUGACAAAUGUCCUCUGGGCCAAAUCACAUCGGCCCAGAGUCAGUGUGGGAGAGGACUAACUACACAAGAGUGCAAAUACCAGGUAUGGUUCAUGGGGGCCCCCAGUGUUAACAGUCUACCCAAUCUGGUGAUCAUAAGGCAGACAACUGAAGUCAUGAUGCUUCGUUUUACAAAUAAAAAAGCAAAGGCUCAGAAAUGAAAUCACUUGCCCAGGAUAACACAUGUUGUAAAUGGAAAACAAAUAUUUGUUUACUGGUAAUAAGUCAAAGGCUAGUUAAGCCUUUCACUAUAUCUCAUUGCCCCUAAUCUUUAAACUCCACUUUCCUUUUCCUUAUUCUUAGCCAACUGUGAAUAUCUGUGUUCAAGAAGUUAACAAUGUAGAUAAUCCAAAAUGAAGUGUGUUUUGUAGCAUUAUCUGAGCAGUAGAUAUUAGAUGACUAAUGUAGUAUGCUCUGGAAACUCGUAACAGUUCAAAGGAAAUAAAGCCAUUUUAUAAUGAAACCACUUUAAAAAUCCUCCACUGUUUUCAUCUUCACGAGAAUGACAAAGCACCAACUUAAAGUAAACCAACUCUUUCCCCUUCUCUGAGCUUGCUGUAUUUCCUAAGAAGGAAGGAAAAAGUCAAACAAGAAUUAAGUCACUAGGAACUUGAUGAAAGUUCUACCACAGUAUAUGUACCCAAAUUUACAGUAUCAAAUGGUUUCCAAUAUCAGUUGAGACCCGAGGCAUUUAA